CCGGCGUGAGGGAUGACGGCCUUCGGGUUGUAAACCUCUUUCAGUACCGACGAAGCGCCCGUUGUGGGUGGUGACGGUAGGUACAGAAGAAGCACCGGCCAACUACGUGCCAGCAGCCGCGGUAAUACGUAGGGUGCGAGCGUUGUCCGGAAUUAUUGGGCGUAAAGGGCUCGUAGGCGGUUUGUCGCGUCGGAGUGAAACACCGGGCUUAACUCGGUGCUUGCUUUCGAUACGGGCAGACUAGAGGUAUGCAGGGGAGAACGGGAAUUCCUGGUGUAGCGGUGAAAUGCGCAGAUAUCAGGAGGAACACCGGUGGCGAAGGCGGUUCUCUGGGCAUUACCUGAUGCUGAGGAGCGAAAGUGUGGGGAGCGAACAGGAUUAGAUACCCUGGUAGUCCACACCGUAAACGUUGGGCGCUAGGUGUGGGGCCUAUUCCAUGGGUUCCGUGCCGCAGCUAACGCAUUAAGCGCCCCGCCUGGGGAGUACGGCCGCAAGGCUA
Molecule: ribosomal RNA, 499 nt
Filed under: uncultured Actinomycetes bacterium
Lineage: Bacteria; Bacillati; Actinomycetota; Actinomycetes
Description: bacterial SSU rRNA
Rfam family: Bacterial small subunit ribosomal RNA
Source: RNAcentral